CUUAAUCUUCUGAUUCUCGAGACGCCAGACACUCUCGUACCUCACAGAAUCUCGCAUGGAGAAAACGAUUUGCAAUCGUCUUUGGCGUCAUCAUAUGACAUAUAGAAUUAAGUACCGUACAUAUAAUGCAGGCAACAGACUAACGGAGAUAUGUGCUUUUACUUCGAUUAUGCAACCAACACUUCUAUAUCAUCUGAAAAUCAGUAUUUUUAUGAUAUACUCAUCAGGUCUGCAACUGGAUCAUGCAGUCGUCUAGACCAGGUAACAGCGUUUUUGCAGAAGUUUAAAAAUGAGAUGUUCCCUCCCAACUAUGGAUAUGGUGAAACUAACUUUCUGCAAUUUCAGUAAACUGCUGACACACAUCGCAAAGGAGCAAAAGGAGUGUGAAUCCAAGAUAUCCAGGCAAGAGUUACUUCUGCAACUGGUUUCAAGUGCAAGAAGGUAAAACUGAUAAUUCAUGGUGACGCUAAGCUGUAUAGAUAUAUGACGCAUUGCAUUUC
Long non-coding RNA from Schistocerca piceifrons (Central American locust), 500 nucleotides. RefSeq lists it as uncharacterized. The record is from RefSeq and is a predicted model, not a curated record. NCBI's taxonomy places the organism in Eukaryota, Metazoa, Arthropoda, Insecta, Orthoptera, Acrididae. The transcript is spliced from 4 exons.